AAGUCGUAACAAGGUUUCCGUAGGUGAACCUGCGGAAGGAUCAUUAGAGAAAUUAUUGAGAGUUGAGCUGGCUUUUCACGAAGCAUGUGCUUGCUUUCUAAUUACUUUAUCCAUACACCUGUGCACCUUUGAGGUAGGGGUGGGAAACCCGUUGCUUUCGCCUCGUCCCGUUUCCAUUCCAGUUUAAACUCCAUUAAAAUCCGUAACCUUAAAUUUCGGAAACAGUUUGGAAAAUUCGAUGGAAUUUGAGUCCGCCUUUUAACCGGGCCCCUUUAAAAUUCCAAUUAUAUAA
RNAcentral lists this unclassified non-coding RNA (292 nucleotides) under plant metagenome. RNAcentral describes it as "partial contains small subunit ribosomal RNA and internal transcribed spacer 1". The stretch from base 1 to 46 matches the Rfam family "Eukaryotic small subunit ribosomal RNA", at positions 1786 to 1831 of the family's 1831-position model. The record is from RNAcentral.